GAUCUCUGCCUAGCUGCCAUGGCACAAAAUACGUUCUCUUCGGUUCCUGCAACCAUGCUUCCCUGAAUCAAGCACCUGGCUGGCAAGAAGAGGAAGCCUGGGAGCUUUGCAGGGGAUGGGGGAACUGGGAGACCCGCUCCUGCAACUUCCUGAGCGCCUGGUGGAGUCCUGCCACCUGCCGGGGACUCACAUGUAGAGGAUCGCCCUGAACAGGAAGACGCUGAAGGCGGGCAGCCAACGAGCUCACGGCGCCAACUGCCCACCAUACGACCGGGGACUGUGCUGAUAUGCGAACAGUGGAAUGAGCUAGCCUGUCUUUAGGCAACACAUACAUCAGCUCACUGAUGACAAAGGAGAGUGACAGAUGGGCUCACCUUCCCCUUCCACAGGGGGCCAAGCCAAGCAGGGAGGUGCUGCUCCUGCCUCGUGGGGAGACUGUCAGAAGCCCAGUCAGGCCCUGCAAGAUAUGCCGGCAUUUGGGGGUGAAGGGAGGCUCAAUAGCAACCCUAGGAUGGCCCGUGGGAGCCUCCUGGGUCCCUCAAACACCCUGAAUUUGUAUGCAAAGUGUUGCAUGUAUGCACGUGUCAUUUUUCUGAAACAAGUUGGAGACUUUGUGGGCUGCUGAGAUGCAGACUCCCGGAACAGCAGCUCCUAAGCACCUCUUCCUGACUCCAGAGACCCACGGUGCUCUAAGUGGUCACCUUCCAUUCCCAUCUGUCAGCACGAGAUCCCACUGUCCCCACUUGUGCCCGUCUCUGCUUGCCGCGGUUAACACUCCAGCCCCAAAUGCUCCUCCCUGCCACACGGGCGGUCACACACCCACCGCCGACCUAAAUCCCUCUACAGAGAUGUUCAAGACCUCUCAUUUGAACACAUCCAAACCAGUACCAUCAGAGCAGAGGAGGUAGAAGCAGGGGCUGUUGUGCGUGGAGUGAACUCCCUCUGCGAAGGCACCGUGCCCACAGCCUUGAGUGAGGCGAACACCUGCUGUGGAAAGCAAGCGGAUGAACAGAUAAAUAAGUAGCUGGUGUUCGUUCAUUCACCAUGAUCUGAUUUUCUUCAGCUCUUGCCCUGCUUUGUUUAGGUAAGUGUCCCCACAGCCCAUGUGUGGAAGCCUGCUCCCCAACCCUGUGGUGCGGUGGAGAGGCAGUGGAACCUUUAAGCGAGGGGCCCAGCAGGAGGAAGUUGGUUGCUGGGGAUGUGCCCUGGAAGGGGAUAUUGGAACCCCAGACUCUUCCUCUCUCUCUUCUGGAGUGUCCUGAGGAGCAGGUGUCUCCUCCGCCCCUCCCACUCCUGCCCAAGAGGUCUUCAUCAUGUCUGUUGACCUGCCACAGGCCCCCAAACAGCCGGACAACCCCACUGUGGACUGCAACCCUGAAACUGUAAGCCACAAUAAGCCUUUGCUCCUUUUAAGUUGGCUCCUUAUCAGCGAUGGGGCCUGGACGUGCAGCCCUCGUGGGCUGGAGGGGUCUGCUCCGCUCUCGGUCCCACCUUGCCACUCUGUGCCGGGCCUGGAGGACGCAGGCCCCACGAGGGCACAGGUGUUGGUAGCACCUGGUUCCAAGCAGCAGCCCGCCUCCAACCUCCCUUCCGCUCCCACGGGCAGGGGAAGUCACGGGAGGGAAACAUCCCUUCACCUUUCGGAGGGCGAAAAAGAAGGGCCAGGAGCCCCAGGGGACAGCUACCCUGGCAGAGGACAGGAGGCGCAGGCAGCUCCCCUUGGGUCAGGUCUGGGACUGAGGUGUAAGGGGCCAGGGCAGCUCAGGGAACACACGGAUGUUUUUAAGUCACGUUCAACCCAGACUCCAGGCACCGACUGGGAAGGCCCUGCGCACCUCGGACUCGGCCCAGGCGUGUCCACGGCCCGGGAGGUGGACACUUGGGGAAGUCUGAAGUACCACGGGCAUGUAGAUGUCACCAUCUUCUUUUUUUCCUUAAAGAACAAAAUAGGACUCUUUUUGUGUUUGUUCGUUUGUUUCGUUGGGGAAAAUCUGCUUUGCUCCCCGCAGAGGGGCGAGGGGACCCCCGGGCCCGCGGCCACGGCGCUCCCCGCGUGCAGUUCCCGUGGUGCCCACCGGGUGGCGCAGGCGCCGCGCUCUGACCGCGCGGGCGAGGCAGCGGCGUGCGGACGGCGCCGGACCCCUGCG
Sciurus carolinensis (gray squirrel) is the source of this 2147-nucleotide long non-coding RNA. RefSeq lists it as uncharacterized. The record is from RefSeq and is a predicted model, not a curated record. NCBI's taxonomy places the organism in Eukaryota, Metazoa, Chordata, Mammalia, Rodentia, Sciuridae. The transcript has 3 exons.